This 238-nucleotide ribosomal RNA is filed under the name uncultured bacterium. RNAcentral describes it as "partial 16S ribosomal RNA". It matches the Rfam family "Bacterial small subunit ribosomal RNA", at positions 524 to 759 of the family's 1533-position model. The record is from RNAcentral.
UACGAAGGGGGCGAGCGUGUUCGGAAUUACUGGGCGUAAAGGGCGCGCAGGCGGCCUUUAGAAGUCAGAUGUGAAAGCCCCCGGGGCUCAACCUGGGAAUGGCAUUUGAUACUCUGAGGCUGGAGUACGGGAGAGGAGAGUGGAAUUCCCAGUGUAGAGGUGAAAUUCGUAGAUAUUGGAAGAACACCGGUGGCGAAGGCGGCUCUCGUGGACCGUAACUGACGCUGAGGCGCGAAAG